This 1461-nucleotide long non-coding RNA is filed under the name Vigna radiata. RNAcentral's name for it is "long non-coding RNA (VRAD_LNC004953)". Lineage: Eukaryota; Viridiplantae; Streptophyta; Magnoliopsida; Fabales; Fabaceae. The record is from RNAcentral.
GCUGUUGCAGACAGGAAUCAGAGGACAAAACUAUUCGUCUGGCUGACUUCGCAGAAAUUAUGUUGUUUCGAAUCGAAACCCUACGGAUUAGGGUUUAAGAGGAAUUCCAACUACUCAAACUGUAAGAGUAAACAAUUUUGAGGAAGGCGAAUAUAACAAAAAUGAAUAAAAACUACGUUAUAUGUUUACUUUUAUAUAUGUUAAUCUUAAUUUAUACUCAGCUUGGUAUCUAUAAUUUAUUAUUAUAAUAUGAUAUUUUAACAAACUUUUCAGUAAGUGUGCACUCUCCAGUUUCAGUUUCCAUUUCGAGCAUAGUGCUGUGCUAUAAACCAAAAGCCCUCAUUUUCCUCAUCGCAUUAGAAAAAUAUGCAAUCAGAGAGGCUCAACGACAUGGUUUUCAAGUAAAAAUAAUAACAGAAAAAAAAAUAAAAUAACACAUGUGGAAUGCUGCUCGUGUAUAUCUACAGGAACUUUCCUGAUGCAAAAAUCAUCUCGAACUCUCAACUGACACUGGAAUUUCAAAAAACGAAACAAACUCUCGAAUAUUACAAUGUCCCUGAACAUUUCGCACAGAUCAAUCACGCUAGGCAAAUAGUUUUGUAUCUUGAAUCCUAUCAUAGCCCAAUCGAAGACAGCCAAUAAUAUCAUUCAUCCAAAGGAAAUAAUAUCAGAAAUCUUCAAUUCUAUCAAAGUCUAACAGAAAAAAAUAAACGACGGAUGAAAAACUUACAGCUGUUGCAGACGGGAAUCAAAGCUCGAAGCUACUCGUCUGGCUGACUUUGCAGAGAUAUUUUGUUGUCGUUCCGAACCGAAACCCUAUGAAUUAGGGUUUAAGAGAAAUUGGAAAGACUCAGCAACAUAACUGGGAAAACCACAGUAAGAGUAAACAAUUUUCAGGAAGGGGAAUGUAAUAAAAAUAAAGACUACGACGGCUGACUCUGUUGGCGGUGGAGGACGUCGGACCUGGUGACCGUCGGUGACACUAGCGGUGAUUGGUGACGCUGACGGCGCUCAUCUCGCGGUUAACGGCAGACAGUUUGGCAGAGGCGGUGGCUCACGCAUGGAAGGAGAAAUUAAACUAUAUUUUUCUCUUUAGAUUUUUACUUUUCAGGAGAAAUUAAACAUUUUCAAAACCACAUCUUUAUUCGUGUAGGGUGUUAAUACCUUCCCUACACGUAACCGACUCCCGAACCAGAAUCUGGUUUUUUGUAGACCAAGCCUUAUCCCUUUUACGGUUUUUCUAUAGUUUUCCAAAAUAAACUAUAGUGGCGACUCCAAAUUUUUUUUUUCAAAAUCGUCUCUCUUUUUGGAUCGUCGUCCCGUCGCGAUUUCCGGUUGCGACACUAUCCUUGUAUAUUUUCUCUUUUGCGAUGAUCACCUAAUUGGUGUGAGCUUAGGGAGACAGUUGUUUCAGUUACUUCAGCGAUAUGUGAUCGAGAGGAUUUAGUAGAGAAGUCGGAU